UCGAUGAAGAACGCAGCGAAAUGCGAUAAGUAAUGUGAAUUGCAGAAUUCAGUGAAUCAUCGAAUCUUUGAACGCAUCUUGCGCUCCUUGGUAUUCCGAGGAGCAUGCCUGUUUGAGUGUCAUCAAAAAUUCUCAAACCAUGCUGGUUCUUCUGGCAUGGCUUGGAUUUGGGGGUCUGCAGGCUUAAAGUCGGCUCCCCUGAAAAGGAUUAGCGGUAUCUGAGCAGACACGGCGUGAUAAUUAUCUAUGCUGUUGGCAUGCGCAAGAAUCCUGCUUCUAAACCCGAGUGUUGAAAAAUUUGACCUCAAAUCAGGUAGGACUACCCGCUGAACUUAA
RNAcentral lists this ribosomal RNA (336 nucleotides) under uncultured Inocybe. RNAcentral describes it as "eukaryotic LSU rRNA". The stretch from base 1 to 122 matches the Rfam family "5.8S ribosomal RNA", at positions 33 to 154 of the family's 154-position model. Lineage: Eukaryota; Fungi; Basidiomycota; Agaricomycetes; Agaricales; Cortinariaceae. The record is from RNAcentral.